UUUGGGCGUUGGUCGUCUUCAUGUUCUUAUUGAAGGCUUUUAAAGGAGGUAGAUGUUGGACCAGGUACCAGUUUGUUGGUUGGUGCAGAUGUUGGUCACUGUGGUUAGUUAGAAACCGAUUGUAGGUUAGUUUUUAAAGUGCGUAGGUUCAUGUUGUCCUCGAUUCAACACUGAGUUUCUCUCGACUAUAAAUAGUUAUUUAGCCUAAACUAGAGUCAGAGUUGUCCUCCAACCCUAAAGUAGAUCUAACAGACUUUAGUAAUAAAGUUAAACUCUGAUCUCUGUUGUUCCUCUGAGUAUUACAUUAAACUUAGGCUUAAACUCACCGAGGAAUUUCAACGAGGAAAUGGCUGCUUUAUCUGCGUCAUGCAUGUUGCCUGUUGUCUCCUUCAUGGUUGCUUCUGCUGGUCAGAGAAUCAUCACAGCUGAACCUGGAGACAACGUCACUCUGACAUGUAGAGCAGAUCAGAACAAACCUGUUAUCGUUGUAAAGUGGACCAGAACUGAUAUGGGGUCAGAUCAAUAUGUUCUUCUAUACAGAGAUGAGCAGUUUGAUCCAGACUAUCAGUUUACAUCCUUUAAGAACCGGCUGGAUCUGGUGGACGUGAAGAAUGGAGACGUGUCUUUGGUUCUGAAGAACGUGACAACUGAUGAUACAGGAAGAUAUGAGUGUUGAGUUGCUCAGAGAGGAAAUAAUCGCAGGAAGAGAUCCAUUCAGGACACUGACCCCAUCAGCAUUAUUGACCUCAUAGUUCAAAGAAAGACGGAUGAACUAAAAGAAGAUGGAGGAAAAGAGGACAGAUAACAGAAGGAUGGAGAAGAGAUGAAUGGAUGGAACACGACUGGACUGAUAGCUGGUCUCUCUGUUGGUGGUAUUGUUGUUAUUGUUGUUGUUGUUCUGGUUCUACGUAGAAGGAAGAGACCUUUAUCACCAGAACCUAACCCACCUUCCAGCAGCAGAAGCUGAACCCAAGCAAAUUACAACAGAACUGUAAAAGUGUGAUGAUCCAUGACAACCUGUGAGAUGCUUUCAACACUACAGGAUGAAGGAUAAAACUGCAUUCUGCCUGAUUGUGUUUCCCCGUUCCAGUCCAUACUAACACUAGUAUUACCAGAACCUUGGAUACGCUCAGAUUCACUGUGAACUCUUUAUUUAUAUCAGGUUUUUUUUUUUUUUGCCUUCAUCAAUAUUUAAACCGUAGCAUAAUUUGAAGAACAAUAAAGUUUGCAGUUCUUCCUUCUGCUAACAGGCUUUAUGGAGAGGCUGGUUUCAUUUUCCAGUUGGACUUGGUACCGACCCACACUGCCACAGUCGAUAUAAUUUAUUUCAGAACGUGAUCCAUGUUCAAAGACAAUGUUUGGUUAUUACAUUUAUUGUCCCCCCUCCCAACCCCAAAAGGUAGAAGAAAUAAAAAUAGACGGUAUAUCAAAGCUCAGGAGGUUUAGUGGAAAAAAUACAAACUAAAAAGAAAAACAAAGUAAAAUUAAUAAUCGUCAUAGAACUGAAUCAAAUAGUUGUUUUAUGUCAGUGUAACUGUUUUAUUUUUAACCAAAUUAUGAGAGGAAGAAAUUCUACAAUAUACCAUAAAUAACAUCUCUAUUUUCCAGCAUGAUUUAGACAACAUUAAUGAAUAAAAACAGAAAUGAAACAGCUCUGGUUUAAUACUUUCUGUCACUCAGUGGUGUUCGAACGUUUUAUUCUGCAGUUUCUUUCAGUUUUUCUGUUGAAAGGUUUGGAUCAGUUCAAAACAGGAAGUCAUUUUCUGUCUCUUUUUGUUCAAGUCUACAGAACCACAGAUUAAAAUCAAAAGAAAAACUCUGUAAGAAACUAAUCUGCUGCUGUAUGCAACAUUUAUUCCAGAUUGGAGAAAUAAACAAUGAAUUUACUGACAGCAAUAAAGAAAGUGUCUUUGUACCAUGAAAUACAUUCAUGGAACAUUUAACUACUAAAAAUUAGAAUAUUACAGAGGAUCAAUAAAAAAAUAUUUUUAAACAGAAAUGUCAGGCUUCUGAAAAGUAGGUUAAUUUCUAUGCAUUUAAUUUUUUCCUUUUGUAUGAAUUACUGCAUCAAUGUGGCGUUGCAUGGAGGAGAUAAGCCUGUGGUUGUGCUGAGGUGUUCAGGAAGCCCAGGUUGCUUUGAUAGCAGCCUUCAGGUCCUCUGCAUUGUUUGUUCUGGUGUCUCAUCUUCCUCUUGAGAAUACCCCAUAGUUUCUCUAUGGUCUAUGGGGUUCUGGUUAGGUGAGUUUGGUGGCCAAGCAAAGUAACAGUGUGGUCUUUGGACCAGCUUUUGGUUGCGUGAUGGCUGCGUUGACUGUGUACUUCAGAAAACCCAGUGGACCAGAACCAGCAGAUGACAUGGAUUCUGUGCCCCUCCACUCUUCCUCCAGACACUGGGACGUUGAUUUCCAAAUGAAAUGCAAACUUUACUUUAAUCUGAAAACAGUCCAGUUCCUUUUUCUCCUCAGCUGAGGGAGGACGCUUUUGACGUUGUCUCUGGUUCGGCAGUGGAUUGACACGAGGAAUAUGACACUUCUGUGUAGGAUUCAUCGGUGGCUCUUGGUGCACUGAAUCUAGCCUAUGUCUUAUCUCUGUGAAGCUGUUAUCCCUGUUUCUGGUGCACCUUUUUCUUUCGCACUUUUUCCUUCCACUUAACUUUCUAUGAAUAUUCUUGCCUACAGCAUUCUGAACCACCAGCUUUAGAAAUUACUGUUGGUGGUUAACCCUUCUUAUAUAGGGUGUCAAUGACCGUCUUCGGGACAUCUGUCAAGUCAGCAGUACAAUAUUAAAAUUUUCUGAGACGCUGAAUUUUGUGUAAGUCAUAAUCAUCAAAAUUACAAGAAAUAAAGGCUUAAAACAUUC
Molecule: long non-coding RNA, 2859 nt
Organism: Girardinichthys multiradiatus
Lineage: Eukaryota; Metazoa; Chordata; Actinopteri; Cyprinodontiformes; Goodeidae
Exons: 3
Source: RefSeq, a predicted model, not a curated record